Molecule: ribosomal RNA, 413 nt
Filed under: uncultured bacterium
Lineage: Bacteria
Description: bacterial SSU rRNA
Rfam family: Bacterial small subunit ribosomal RNA
Source: RNAcentral
UUCAAUUCGACGCAACGCGAAGAACCUUACCCAGGCUCGAACGGCAACUGACAUCCGGCGAAAGCCGGCUCCCGCAAGGGCAGUUGUCGAGGUGCUGCAUGGCUGUCGUCAGCUUGUGUCGUGAGAUGUUGGGUUAAGUCCCGCAACGAGCGCAACCCUUGUCCGCUGUUGCCAUCAGGUUAUGCUGGGCACUCUGCGGAGACUGCCGGUGAUAAACCGGAGGAAGGUGGGGAUGACGUCAAGUCAGCAUGGCCUUUAUGUCUGGGGCUACACACGUGCUACAAUGGCAGAUACAAACCGUCGCGAUGCCGCAAGGUGGAGCUAAUCGGAGAAAGUCUGUCUCAGUUCGGAUUGCAGGCUGCAACUCGCCUGCAUGAAGUUGGAAUCGCUAGUAAUCGCGGAUCAGCACGCCG